AGUGAACGCUGGCGGUAGGCCUAACACAUGCAAGUCGAACGGCAGCACAGAGGAGCUUGCUCCUUGGGUGGCGAGUGGCGGACGGGUGAGGAAUACAUCGGAAUCUACUCUGUCGUGGGGGAUAACGUAGGGAAACUUACGCUAAUACCGCAUACGACCUACGGGUGAAAGCAGGGGAUCUUCGGACCUUGCGCGAUUGAAUGAGCCGAUGUCGGAUUAGCUGGUUGGCGGGGUAAAGGCCCACCAGGGCGACGAUCCGUAGCUGGUCUGAGAGGAUGAUCAGCCACACUGGAACUGAGACACGGUCCAGACUCCUACGGGAGGCAGCAGUGGGGAAUAUUGGACAAUGGGCGCAAGCCUGAUCCAGCCAUACCGCGUGGGUGAAGAAGGCCUUCGGGUUGUAAAGCCCUUUUGUUGGGAAAGAAAUCCAUCUGGUUAAUACCCGGGUGGGAUGACGGUACCCAAAGAAUAAGCACCGGCUAACUUCGUGCCAGCAGCCGCGGUAA
RNAcentral lists this ribosomal RNA (506 nucleotides) under uncultured bacterium. RNAcentral's name for it is "partial 16S ribosomal RNA". It matches the Rfam family "Bacterial small subunit ribosomal RNA", at positions 29 to 523 of the family's 1533-position model. The record is from RNAcentral.